This 395-nucleotide ribosomal RNA is filed under the name uncultured bacterium. RNAcentral's name for it is "bacterial SSU rRNA". It matches the Rfam family "Bacterial small subunit ribosomal RNA", at positions 28 to 417 of the family's 1533-position model. The record is from RNAcentral.
GACGAACGCUGGCGGCGCGCUUAACACAUGCAAGUCGAGCGAGAACCAGGGCUUCGGCCCUGGGGAAAGCGGCGAACGGGUGAGUAACACGUGAGUAACCUGUCCUCGGCACCGGGAUAGCCCGGGGAAACCGGAUUAAUACCGGAUGGCCUUUCGAGUCCUCGGACUCGUCAGAAAAGGUAGCUUCGGCCUCCGGCCGAGGAGGGACUCGCGGCGGACUAGCUUGUUGGUGAGGUAACGGCUCACCAAGGCGACGANCCGUAGCUGGUCUGAGAGGACGAUCAGCCACGCUGGGACUGAGACACGGCCCAGACUCCUACGGGAGGCAGCAGUGGGGAAUCUUGCGCAAUGGGCGAAAGCCUGACGCAGCGACGCCGCGUGAGGGAUGACGGCCU